This 709-nucleotide ribosomal RNA is filed under the name Flavobacterium sp. Its description in RNAcentral is "bacterial SSU rRNA". It matches the Rfam family "Bacterial small subunit ribosomal RNA", at positions 56 to 767 of the family's 1533-position model. Lineage: Bacteria; Pseudomonadati; Bacteroidota; Flavobacteriia; Flavobacteriales; Flavobacteriaceae. The record is from RNAcentral.
UGCAGUCGAGGGGUAUAGGUUUUCGGAUCUAGAGACCGGCGCACGGGUGCGUAACGCGUAUGCAAUCUACCUUUUACAGAGGGAUAGCCCAGAGAAAUUUGGAUUAAUACCUCAUAGUAUUAUGAAAUGGCAUCAUUUUAUAAUUAAAGUCACAACGGUAAAAGAUGAGCAUGCGUCCCAUUAGCUAGUUGGUAAGGUAACGGCUUACCAAGGCAACGAUGGGUAGGGGUCCUGAGAGGGAGAUCCCCCACACUGGUACUGAGACACGGACCAGACUCCUACGGGAGGCAGCAGUGAGGAAUAUUGGACAAUGGGCGCAAGCCUGAUCCAGCCAUGCCGCGUGCAGGAUGACGGUCCUAUGGAUUGUAAACUGCUUUUGUACGAGAAGAAACACUACUUCGUGAAGUAGCUUGACGGUAUCGUAAGAAUAAGGAUCGGCUAACUCCGUGCCAGCAGCCGCGGUAAUACGGAGGAUCCAAGCGUUAUCCGGAAUCAUUGGGUUUAAAGGGUCCGUAGGCGGUUUAGUAAGUCAGUGGUGAAAGCCCAUCGCUCAACGGUGGAACGGCCAUUGAUACUGCUAGACUUGAAUUAUUAGGAAGUAACUAGAAUAUGUAGUGUAGCGGUGAAAUGCUUAGAGAUUACAUGGAAUACCAAUUGCGAAGGCAGGUUACUACUAAUUGAUUGACGCUGAUGGACGAAAGCGUGGGUA